CAAGCGUUAAUCGGAAUUACUGGGCGUAAAGCGCACGCAGGCGGUUUGUUAAGUCAGAUGUGAAAUCCCCGCGCUUAACGUGGGAACUGCAUUUGAAACUGGCAAGCUAGAGUCUUGUAGAGGGGGGUAGAAUUCCGGGUGUAGCGGUGAAAUGCGUAGAGAUCUGGAGGAAUACCGGUGGCGAAGGCGGCCCCCUGGACAAAGACUGACGCUCAGGUGCGAAAGCGUGGGGAGCAAACAGGAUUAGAUACCCUGAUAGUCCACGCUGUAAACGAUGUCGACUUGGAGGUUGUGCCCUUGAGGCGUGGCUUCCGGAGCUAACGCGUUAAGUCGACCGCCUGGGGAGUACGGCCGCAAGGCUAAAACUCAAAUGAAUUGACGGGGGCCCGCACAAGCGGUGGAGCAUGUGGUUUAAUUCGAUGCAACGCGAAGAACCUUACCUACUCUUGACAUCCACGGAAUUCGCCAGAGAUGGCUUAGUGCCUUCGGGAACCGUGAGACAGGUGCUGCAUGGCUGUCGUCAGCUCGUGUUGUGAAAUGUUGGGUUAAGUCCCGCAACGGGCGCAACCCUUAUCCUUUGUUGCCAGCACGUAAUGGUGGGAACUCAAAGGAGACUGCCGGUGAUAAACCGGAGGAAGGUGGGGAUGACGUCAAGUCAUCAUGGCCCUUACGAGUAGGGCUACACACGUGCUACAAUGGCAUAUACAAAGAGAAGCGAACUCGCGAGAGCAAGCGGACCUCAUAAAGUAUGUCGUAGUCCGGAUUGGAGUCUGCAACUCGACUCCAUGAAGUCGGAAUCGCUAGUAAUCGUAGAUCAGAAUGCUACGGUGAAUACGUUCCCGGGCCUUGUACACACCGCCCGUCACACCAUGGGAGUGGGUUGCAAAAGAAAUAGGUAGCUUAACCUUCGGGAGGGCGCUUACCACUUUGUGAUUCAUGACUGGGGUGAAGUCGU
This 955-nucleotide ribosomal RNA is filed under the name uncultured bacterium. RNAcentral's name for it is "bacterial SSU rRNA". It matches the Rfam family "Bacterial small subunit ribosomal RNA", at positions 535 to 1489 of the family's 1533-position model. The record is from RNAcentral.